AGAUGGUGAACUAUGCCUGAAUAGGGCGAAGCCAGGGGAAACCCUGGUGGAAGCCCGCAGCGAUUCUGACGUGCAAAUCGAUCGUCAAAUUUGGGUAUAGGGGCGAAAGACUAAUCGAACCGUCUAGUAGCUGGUUCCCUCCGAAGUUUCCCUCAGGAUAGCUGGAGCCCGGUGCAGUUUUAUCAGGUAAAGCGAAUGAUUAGAGGUCUUGGGGUCGAAACGUCCUCAACCUAUUCUCAAACUUUAAAUGGGUAAGAAGUCUGGCUUGCUCGAGUGAAGUCGGACGUGGAAUGCCGGGGCUCCUAGUGGGCCAUUUUUGGUAAGCAGAACUGGCGAUGUGGGAUGAACCGAAAGCCGGGUUAAGGUGCCCGAAUCGACGCUCAGCA
RNAcentral lists this ribosomal RNA (386 nucleotides) under Mycale cecilia. Its description in RNAcentral is "eukaryotic LSU rRNA". It matches the Rfam family "Eukaryotic large subunit ribosomal RNA", at positions 821 to 1207 of the family's 3401-position model. The record is from RNAcentral. Lineage: Eukaryota; Metazoa; Porifera; Demospongiae; Poecilosclerida; Mycalidae.